This 433-nucleotide ribosomal RNA is filed under the name uncultured bacterium. RNAcentral describes it as "partial 16S ribosomal RNA". It matches the Rfam family "Bacterial small subunit ribosomal RNA", at positions 29 to 507 of the family's 1533-position model. The record is from RNAcentral.
AACGAACGCUGGCGGCAUGCCUAACACAUGCAAGUCGAACGAGACCUUCGGGUCUAGUGGCGCACGGGUGCGUAACGCGUGGGGACCUGCCCUUAGGUUCGGAAUAACUCCCCGGAAGGGGUGCUAAUACCGGAUAAUGUCUUCGGACCAAAGAUUUAUCGCCUUUGGAUGGGCCCGCGUUGGAUUAGCUAGUUGGUAGGGUAAAAGCCUACCAAGGCGACGAUCCAUAGCUGGUCUGAGAGGAUGAUCAGCCACACUGGGAUUGAGACACGGCCCAGACUCCUACGGGAGGCAGCAGUGGGGAAUAUUGGACAAUGGGCGAAAGCCUGAUCCAGCAAUGCCGCGUGAGUGAUGAAGGCCUUAGGGUUGUAAAGCUCUUUUACCCGGGAUGAUAAUGACAGUACCGGGAGAAUAAGCUCCGGCUAACUCCGUG